GACGAACGCUGGCGGCGUGCUUAACACAUGCAAGUCGAACGGGAAGGCCCUGCUUUUGUGGCGUACUCGAGUGGCGAACGGGUGAGUAACACGUGAGUAACCUGCCCUUGACUUUGGGAUAACUUCAGGAAACUGGGGCUAAUACCGGAUAGGAGCUCCUGCUGCAUGGUGGGGGUUGGAAAGUUUCGGCGGUGGUGGAUGGACUCGCGGCUUAUCAGCUUGUUGGUGGGGUAGUGGCUUACCACGGCUUUGACGGGUAGCCGGCCUGAGAGGGUGACCGGCCACAUUGGGACUGAGGUAAGGCCCAGACUCCUCCGGGAGGCAGCAGUGGGGAAUAUUGCACAAUGGGCGGAAGCCUGAUGCAGCAACGCCGCGUGCUGGAUGACGGCCUUCGGGCUGUAAACCGCUUUCGCCUGUGACGAAGCGUGAGUGACGGUAAUGGGUAAAGAAGCACCGGCUAACUCCGUG
Molecule: ribosomal RNA, 468 nt
Filed under: uncultured bacterium
Lineage: Bacteria
Description: partial 16S ribosomal RNA
Rfam family: Bacterial small subunit ribosomal RNA
Source: RNAcentral